CAGAGGCUCUGAAGGAGAAGGCAGGAGCUGUGGUGGGGCCUGGAGAAGUGCUGUGCGGAAGGAGAAAGGUCUACAGGUCACAAUGAUUCUGGUGUGAAGCAGAGGAUGGGCCAGAAAGAGAUUCAAAAUGCUACAUCUUCAAAUCACUUCACCUGUCCCUCCAGUAGCCCUUCAGGUCCUUGGCAUCUUCAACUCCUGCUAUCCUCACGUGUAAUGACCCUCAAAUUAAGUUCUACAAAUUACCCAGAUCAGAGAUAUGUUCCUUAAAGAUUAAGCUGCUUUAAAGUUGAAAUUGAGAUGAAGGCUCUCAAAAUCCCAAAGAACAAUGCACAGUUAUGCGGCUGUUUGCCAGGGACAGUACUACCAACUGAUAUCACACCAAAAUCUAUUUCCAUGCCUACUUCUCAUUGGUUUCUUGCCAGCCUGCUUUCGUUCUGAUUGGCUGCCUACAUUAUCCCCACCCCCAAUCCAGAAGAAGCCAAGUGAUCUAGUUCUGGGGAAGCUUUCAUUUUUUAACACUCAAGUUAU
Molecule: non-coding RNA, 528 nt
Filed under: Pongo abelii (Sumatran orangutan)
Lineage: Eukaryota; Metazoa; Chordata; Mammalia; Primates; Hominidae
Source: RNAcentral